UACGAAGGGGGCUAGCGUUGCUCGGAAUCACUGGGCGUAAAGGGUGCGUAGGCGGGGCUUUAAGUCAGGGGUGAAAUCCUGGAGCUCAACUCCAGAGCUGCCUUUGAUACUGAGGAUCUUGAGUUCGGGAGAGGUGAGUGGAACUGCGAGUGUAGAGGUGAAAUUCGUAGAUAUUCGCAAGAACACCAGUGGCGAAGGCGGCUCACUGGCCCGAUACUGACGCUGAGGCACGAAAGCCAGGGGAGCAAACGGG
This 253-nucleotide ribosomal RNA is filed under the name uncultured bacterium. Its description in RNAcentral is "partial 16S ribosomal RNA". It matches the Rfam family "Bacterial small subunit ribosomal RNA", at positions 524 to 776 of the family's 1533-position model. The record is from RNAcentral.